CCUACGGGAGGCAGCAGUGGGGAAUAUUGCACAAUGGGGGAAACCCUGAUGCAGCGACGCCGCGUGAGUGAAGAAGGAAUUCGUUAUGUAAAGCUCUAUCAGCAGGGAAGAAAAUGACGGUACCUGUGUAAGAAGCCCCGGCUAACUACGUCCCAGCAGCCGCCGUAAUACGUAGGGGGCAAGCGUUAUCCGGAUUUACUGGGUGUAAAGGGAGCGUAGACGGCAGUGCAAGUCUGGAGUGAAAGGCGGGGGCUCAACCCCCGGACUGCUCUGGAAACUGUACGGCUGGAGUGCAGGAGAGGUAAGUGGAAUUCCUAGGGUAGCGGUGAAAUGCGUAGAUAUUAGGAGGAACACCAGUGGCGAAGGCGGCUUACUGGACUGUAACUGACGUUGAGGCUCGAAAGCGUGGGGAGCAAACAGGAUUAGAUACCCCUGUAGUC
Molecule: ribosomal RNA, 440 nt
Filed under: uncultured bacterium
Lineage: Bacteria
Description: partial 16S ribosomal RNA
Rfam family: Bacterial small subunit ribosomal RNA
Source: RNAcentral